This 264-nucleotide long non-coding RNA is filed under the name Gallus gallus (chicken). Lineage: Eukaryota; Metazoa; Chordata; Aves; Galliformes; Phasianidae. The record is from RNAcentral.
CAACAUCUGAGAAGAGAAGGUUCUGGAAAAUAUAGUCUCCUAUUCAAUGCUACAUCAAACUGAAGAAAGUCUCUUUUCUGCAUGGAAACAUAACGACUUCAUGGAAACUACAGCAGGCACUUUACAGAUAUUUCCCCCCUAGUGAUCUGCACUGCACUUCUACUUGUUAUACACAUAUUUGGCUGUGUUGAAAUGUCUACUAAGCCACAACGUUUUUUUAAGCCUUAUAUGAAAAUCGUUACCUACCACAGUCAGAAGCCUUUU